Molecule: long non-coding RNA, 14310 nt
Organism: Clupea harengus (Atlantic herring)
Lineage: Eukaryota; Metazoa; Chordata; Actinopteri; Clupeiformes; Clupeidae
Source: Ensembl
CCAUUUAAGAUCAUUUUGAUUAUCUUGAAAUACAAUUACAGAAGAGGAGAGGUUACAUGAUAGCUACAAUAUUAUGAAGUUGUCCUCACACAUUCUAUGUGUUGGACCUAUAAUGGACAUAGAAAUGUACUUUACAAGGAAAAUUGCAUAUUAUUUUAUAGGUCACUUGUAAAGAAAGCCACACAUUGACUUCAUUGCCAUUUUGGAUGAGAAUGAGUUCAAUUAAUGAGUUUUAAUAUAGCAGUAUUAUGAUUUCCCCAAAACUAUGUGACAGUUUAUUCAGGAGAGACUUGAGUUAUCUUUUAAUGGCAAGUGUCUGAUUGAGAAAACGGGCACAUUUGUGAAGAAACUCAUUAAAGCUCUGGAAUAAAUUCUCAAUGUGUCUCUCCGCUCCCUUCCAUUAUUUCUCUACCCUUUUCCACAAGUACCACCCAGCAUGAACUGAUAUUUCACUCGCUGUGUGCAUUAGGCCCGGCUCAACUCUGCCUUGCCAUUGGGGCAAUGUGCUUCAACAGAGAAAAAGAAGGGUUUGAACAUUUCGCUAUUGAGUCUCGACUUUGAUAUGACAAUACCCAGCACACAUGUCAGUCCAUGGUGAUGCUGAACACAGUGACUCAAACGGAGCUCUAAGCUUUUGAACACAAAGGGAACAUUUAAACAGUUUCCCCUCCUCCCCCUUAUCUCACAGCACAAGAGGGAGCUUUUGGAGUUUUGAGAGAAGCUAAAAUAAACUUCAAGACGGUGAUUUGUCUCGUGUGCGUGGCAGAAUUUUGAGUGGGAUGGGGAGCGUUCGAUGCAGAGUGGCAGCACGGGAGAGGAAGCAGCUUUUACUGUCUGAUCUUUGUACUUCCAGCACAACUGUGUGAUUUCACAGCAUUACCUUUUGGCUUGCAGAUGUGCAUUAAAUACUGUGUCUGUAGAAACAUAGUUAAAGGCUUUAAUAGCUUUAAGCCCCUAUCAUGGUGAUCUAAAGUCAUUGGCAAGCAAACAGAACAAGGGUAUAGGAAGAAAUGCCUGUUGACACAGAAUAAUCCCCGUGAUGCUGAUUGAUUCGACCUAGAGAGCAAAUUUACGAACGCACCCCAAGUAAGCAUUGCUGUCCCGUAGUUGGUGGAUCAGUAGCAAGCUCAUCAGUUAACAUUAAUGGUUGGACUAUCAGCGAGCUCAAAAGCUCUAGUGUAUAAAUGAAGACCUAUAGGGGUCUGUUUGCCUCGACCAAUUUAUUGUAAAUAUCAAUCGAUGUUAAUGGAGAAACUAAUGGAAACUUGGACGUCUUUCAAUCAUAUAAAUGUUUCCAUGCUACAUGUAGCCUUUAGCCUCUGCCACCUUGGCCAAAGUUAUGGUUUACUUCCUGUGAAGGGAGAAGGAUGCACAAACAGAGUAAUACACAAAUCAUAUGGCUCGUUAGCCAACAGCUAGUCAGGCUUACUUUCAGCCCCUUUAAUUAAAGCAGGCAUCCAUUAAAGAAUUAUGUGGGUGUUCAUCAGAGUUAAUAGCAUAUUAAUGAUGCCUAUCAAUGCUUGAUAUAAGCCUUAGUAAUUAUUCAUAAAAUAUUCACAACAACAUAUACAAGAAUAUAAGGCUGUCACUUUUGUAAAAUAAUGCAUUAUAGGUGUUUCAAUAAGUAGAAUUACCAGUAUCUUGCCAUGAAGAGCUAAAAUAUAUGUUGCAACAAAUUAUGUGGUCCCAAAAACUUUUAUAUUUUCACAUUAUAACACCUUCUGUGUACAAUUAAGAACACUGAAGUCUUAUUAAAUGUUGAAGAAGAAGUAUUACAAAUAAAUCAUUUCAAUACUUGCUUUAAGUUAAGUAGAAUUUUAACUGAAGGAAUUUGGAGUGUCAGACACCACUUUACUGUUCUUUAUGCAGGUUAGUGUUGCUCAUCUAGUUUUCCCUACAAGGCAACUUCUGUGUAAGUAUGUAUAAUUAGAGCAACUGUCGGUAUGGAGACACAUAUAAAGCCGAGAUGAUUACACGAGGAAACGUGCUGUCAGGAUGAAGGCGAAUGUAUACAUCAACCUAUAGUGAAGCCCGGGGCACGUCACUGCAAAUUCAAUCACUAAGCGCACAUAUGCCCAGAAUAUGCAGCCUCAUAAAUAACAAAACAUGAAUGCAUUAUGCAGUACACUUAUCGCACUUAUUGUCAACAAAAUGAUGGGAGAGGGGUGUUAGUGGAGGAUAUAGACUCGUUUGGUGCUUUUUGUUACAGCUGAAAAAAAUCUCACUCAUUCCCUCUCUGUGUGUUGUGUUUGGUGAACAUUACAUUGUUGAUGUUCAGCUGCUGUAAAGGUAAAAGCCAUAUGCUGUAUUAUAUAUAUUAUAUAUAAGUCCAAAUUUAAUUACAAAUCCAAUGUUUUGCACAAGACAACAGAGAAUGGAUUGGUUUCCAUAGCAAAGAUAAGAGACUGGUUUUAGAGUAAUUGCUUGUUUGUUAUAUGGCAGGGUCAAAAAGAUGCACAAGGCAAUCUACUCCUGUGAGAUUUCAAUUACAACAAAUAGAAAACCUCCUUUGUAUCGUGUUUUAAUGAGUCGGAGGUAACUGCGACCAGUAAUAUUUUUUUUAUUCUUAACGUCUGACCAUGUUAUGGCUUCUUCCCUUGGUUGUUGUUAUUAUGAACUUUAUUAUAUUGUAAUUAUAUGUAUUUUAAACUCAAAAUUACCUUAAGAAUUUAAGAGAGUCGGAUCUGAGUGCAAACAAUGGAUUUGGAAUGAAAUCCAUUGCCCUAUUGAUGUGACAGAUUUGUCAAUAAUUACACACAACGCUCAAAAUAGUCUGGAACACGGUUUGAGUGUUAUAUUUAUACACGGCCAUUUCAGUGUAAAAUUUAACAAUUCUGAUGCAGUAAAAAUACUGUAUGUUCAGAGAUAUUUUUAUGUUGAUAUCCACAGUAACAUUACACGAAGGCUAACGGUGUCAACCAAUAUCUGAUAUUUAAGGUCAUUUUAAACUCGGUUAUUUGAACUAUUAUCCUGCCAGUAUUUGCGUGCCUCUGAAGUUUUGAAAGGUAAUUUGCAGGAUGUUUGAUUCAGAAAAGAUGAAAGUCUUUGUUUACCUUUUGAUGCCAUUUAAGGGGAGAGAAGGGGGCUUUCGGUAACUGAUAAUUUCACUGCUCUUUUAGUCUGGGACUUCCUUGACAAAGGCUAAUCAUACUCAAACUCAAAGCACUGAGUCCCAGACUCUUACGCAAUAACAGCAUUGUUAGCACCUCACCUGUCAGCUCUAUUUGUGUUUAUUUCCUGCUCUCCUCUUCAAAGUUGAUGUUCAGAACAGAACAACAAAGUCUAGGGUAUGGGGCGACAUCACAUUAAAUAGUUACCACGGAAAUGAAUGAGGUGUUAUAUUAUGGGAUAUUGUGUCAGGGGAUUGUUUUCAGCUCUUGUUCCAUUUCCGUUCUGCUUAACUUCAUUCACACCAUCGCUGAAAGGUGAAAUGGCAUGGCGUUCACUCUGCACAUUGUUGCUUAGUAUAAUCCCAGCCAUACGGAGGUGAUAUGCCUCAAUUGCCAUUGUCAUUGUAAUGACUCACAAGCAUGUGUGGAUGCACUGUGUAAUAAAAAGACUUUAAUUUAAUUUCUAUAGAGGAAGUGUGCCACCACUGGGGUAGCUGAUUGGGGCCUUAUGAGUAAAGUGAAGUCUCUGAAAGGUUCCAUGUGGUUAGCAGCCACAUGCUAUCUCCUCUGAGAACCUGAGAAAUAUUGAUAUUUAACUUCAAUUCUGACCUCAAGCUCCUAAAAGAUAUCCCUCCUGGCUAAUAUUGAAAAAAAAUCCCUUCAGGAUGAAACAAGAACGGACUACUUGUGGAAUUAUAUGAAAGAUGUGAAAGCACAAAACCCGUUACCAAUGGCAGCGGUCAUUCAUUUUUUUCAGCGGUCAAUAGAAAGAAAUAUCAGACUUCCGAACGUUGGGGUGGCCAUUUCAAAUCAAUGGAAUUUUUUUGGCAACAUUCUGAGGAGCUGUAUAAUAGACAACAUUAACCUGAGGGGACAACAGAAUGGAAACCUGAUUGGCCAGGUUUUGAUGUUACAUUUCCAGCCCUCAAAUGUCCACUUUAACUAGGGCACUGUUGUAUGGACAAAUCUGGCUUGUUUUGUAUUUCCUGUUACCACAGACAAGCUGAACAAACAUAUACCAUUUCACUGCAGCUGGUUAUUUAGGCUGGUUAUUUAUUUUGGUUAUUAUCUCAUGGCCUUAGCAGGACUGUUCAGUCACUCCAUUAAAUAAAUGCAAAACUUGUUUUUGUUUUUCAGAUUUUUUUCAAACAGUUUUGCUUUUACAGGGAAACCAGAUUCCAGAUUGCCAUUUGAUUGCAAUAGAAACAACUAAAAAUAUUCAGUUUUCAGACAGCAUACAAAGCAGUCCUCAAAUACACAGAAGUAGACUUUCUAUGAAACCAAAUACCUUUCCGUGGAGCCGAACAAAACAAACAGUAUAAUGAAAAACAAUUCAUUACAAGCCCAGCCUCUCCUGUGUUCAUUUACAUAACACUUCAGAUCAUUACUGUGGCUUGAUGCCUCCUGCAACUAUGUGAGUCAGUUUUGAAAUAUAAUAUCUCGUUAUAUUUCUUAAUUGCCACCCCUUACUGGAUGGGUUAGGACUAGUUUUCAGCACCUCAGUCUGUGCCCUUCCAUAUACGUACAUAUGGCUAAAAACAAUAUGUCAUCACCUGAUAGAUUAUAACGGAUAUGCCUAAUGAUUGCAUGUAUAUCUGAUAUGUUUUUCUUGUUGCAAUGAUGUUUUAUGCCAUUGCAAAGAAAAUUAUAUUUUCCCCUUACUCUGUCCAGGUAAAGAAAUUCAAAACAAAUUUCACAGAUGAUAUGAUGUACUGUAAAUGUUUAGCUUUAAGAGGAGUGUCACAAAACUUACAAAAACAAAUCCAGUCAAAACAAUUUACUUAAUAUUAGCUAAAUUCGUUAGUGCUUGAAAUGUCAACAACAUUUGGGCUAUAUUUCCAAACAAAAAUAUUGGUUGUGCAUUUCAUUUUCGCAACAAUUCUUUCUUGGAUUCCAAUAGGACAUCCUGCCACAUCCAAUUCGUCACAACAUUGCUCUUCUGAGAGAGCUUCGCUAUCAUCAUGCCCACCUUGGCCUGCGUCUGUUUUGGUAGAAAAUGUUUCUUUUCUUUCUUUUUUUUUCUGCAGGACCCCAUGAGUAAUGUGUACCCACAAAAUACUGGACAUCGUAAUUAAUGUCUCUCUAAAAGGCAUUAUCUCUUUGGUCUACACUUCUCGCAUCAUUAACUUCAUGUCCUUUUCACAGGAAAAAGGAGAUUGGGCUUUCUGUGAGUGGAAAAUAAAAAUUCCCAUAGCAUAAUUUGGCAUUUUAAUUCUGCACUUGAGUCUGAUCAGACUGGACCCUGGACCCUUACAGAUGGGUCACGUGUUGUUGAGCAGCCUCUCUGUCUGUAUGCGUUAAAGAGAGGGUCUACGACAGGGAACAUCCUUCAGCCUGUGUUUUAGGUCAGAUAAAGUAUUCUUUCUUGCUCUCGUCCAUGGCGUCCUGCAGAGCAGGGUCGCCCCGGAGCGCGGCAUCCGCUGUCUCCGCAAACUCGGUGCCCUUGGCCUCGUUAGUGUGGUAGGUGCCCUUGUGCCGGUACAUGUAACGCAUUAGCACCACCACUAAGCAGAGGAUGACCAGGACGACCGUGGCAAUAACCGCUAAGAGUGGGAUAGAGAGAGGGAAAGAGAGAGAGAGAAAGGGGAAGAAAAAAGAAAUAAUGGAAUAGAGAAUACAAUAGGACACUAAGUGGAAUCAGGUAAAUUAAUGUGAAAUGGGGUCACAGGAAAUCUGGCUGCUAAUUUAAAGAAUAUUUUUUGCAUCUUCUAAUUGGAUGACCUGUUUUUUUAAUGGACAAUCCAGUCUGGAUAUGGGUUCAACAGUCAUGGAAACGAAGGCAAAUAAUAAGAAAGGUCCGGUCAAGAAAGAUCUGCUAAAACAUGGGUUGUAUUGUGGUAUUGUCACAUUUCCUGACCUUAUGACACUGUACGACUGAACAACUUGCGGGGGUUUAGAAGCAUCUCCGCAAAUAAAUCUGGAUAAUUAUCGCGCACUCAUCAUCGUGUUCUUACUCAUUGACACUAAAUAAUAACGUUAAACCACUGCCAAAGAUUCAUUAAAGGCUUGAAAGUGGACACAAAUAUAUCUCACUGACUAACAGCUGGUCAUGGUCACUGCGGCCAGACUGUGAAAACAUUUUUAUUAGUUUGCCUUGGCAACAAGGUGGCUAAUCUAUUAUGUUUUGGACCUGCUCCUAUGCUUGUCUGAAUUCACAAUGCUGGCUUUGUUGAGAUCUAUUCCAGCACAUCAAGCAUAGAAGAGAUUGCACUCUUGCAAGGAGAAAGUCAUAUUCCUGUUAUUAAACAAUUCACUUUGUCGGGCUCUCAGAUCAAUGUUCUAUCUGUCUGAGAUUCAUUCGGGUUGUAGUAAGUACUGCUGAAGGCCCGCUGACCACUGGAGGCAAACUCUUAUAUUCACUCACCUCCUAGGAUUGCAUCGAAAUAGCCAUUAUCCACUCCAUCUGAAAGAAAGCACAAAUAAACAUGAGAAAUUGCACCCAUUACCUAGCACUAUACAGCCAUGCUUGAUAGUGCCUGGAGAAUAUCUUAACUUGUUCAACAUAUUCAGUUCCUGUGACAUUGUUAUGGUAAAAGUUCACAAUUUAUGAGAGGUUGUUUUAAUAGACAGCUGUUUCUCUUGCCUGCAGACUCAGAAAGGGAUCUCUAUAUCCAUCACUGGAGACAAAAAGCUCAUUAAAGACGGUGAUUAAAGGUAAUCAUGAAUUAUUGCAGUAGCAACAUCUGCCUGCCAUGCCUUGACUUUCGCUGAAGGACAUAAAAUUGACUGCAUCAUCACUUGUGACACCAACCAGGUAAGAUUUAAAAUGGAGAUGGAUGUAACGUGUCCCGCAACAUAUCUUUCAAAGGCAAAGAGCAGUAACUUAAACAUAAAAGUUUCAGUAAUGAAUGCCUGGCAUACUCAUUAGUGCCUAAUAAACCACAACAUUGAGUUGUUCGCAUGUCAUUAAAAUCUCAUUAUUUUGUCUUGUUGACAAUGGAGUCAUUGCUGAAUGGAGAUGUCUAGGUGAAGUUGAAGGGCACUUAAUUUGGGGUGCUGUUAAGACAUUGUUAUAGAUGCAGUGAUGGAAGAGUGAUGAGAUGCUCAGAGUCCACGUAGUGGGAGUUUACAUGGCUCCUUCUAGGUCUGUACCUAAGUGAUAGGAAAACAUCUCAUGAGUUUGACAAUGAAAUUAAAAUGUUUAGCAUUUGUUUCUGGAAAGACAGUGCCUUUGGUUUGACUGUUAUCUGUGAUAUGAUAUUGUUCUGUAAUCAUAACUGAAUAAAUACAUCUUGAAUACACACACACACACACACACACACACACACACAAACACACACAUACACACACACACACAGACAAACCCACACACUCUUGACAACUGAAGCCUCAUUGAUUAAUACACAUUUAGACAGGGGUUACAGUUGAAACACUACCUCAGUAGUUGCCACCAAUGUUGGGUUAUCCGUGGUUAAAAAAAAAGAAUUAAAUAAUAAUUGCCACACUGACAGAGUAACAGAAAGCAACAAUACAUGAUAUUAUGAAGUGAACGGGACAUUCCUUUUUCAUUUGUUUGCUUUUUCGCAUUGCGGAGUACUACAUUUUAAAUUAUUUAAAUAAUCAUAUCAUAGUUAUCACCAUAAUUUGCAAUUAAGAGAUUUUUCUUUUCCAGGACAGUGAGGAGACAUGGUGGCUUGAGAAGCAGAAAUCCCUGCUAAAUUUGCUAAGCAAACACAAGGGGGCCAGUGUUGCCUUGAGGUGCCCCCUUGUUAGCCUCGUUAGUGAGAUCCGCCUGCCGCCAUGACACACAUCGAGACAUCUGCGUCGCUCAGGCACACCCGUGGACAGCUUUUUUUCAACGGCUGCCAUGGAGCCCCGAGGACCCAGCAGACAGGCAACCGGAGCCAACGCCGUGAGAUGGCACAGAGUGUUAGAGACAUCAGUCAUCACACGUUUUUUUCUUUUUUUUCUGUCUUCACACAUUUUAGUUUGCACAUUCACACAAGUUCACACACUCACAGGCACAGACACACACACACACACACACACACACACACACACACACACACACACACACACACACACACACACACACAACCACAGGGGCACACAGUCGCAAGGAAAAGCUAACCUAGGGGCUAAGACAUUCACUUUCAUCACUUUCCCAGAAGUGCAGCUAAUCUUGCCCAAAUGCGGGGCUUUGAAGCGCAGUGGUAAUUGUCUCCCGGUAGGAAGGACAGUAAAACUGGGAGCUAAAUUAAUUCCACCCUCCAGCCUCACGGCGGACACUGCACUGGAUAUUAUAUUCUCAGGAAUAAACUCAGGCUAAUAUCUAGAUCACUUCUAUGUAUGGCAGCAUAGCCAGUGACCUUUUUUUGUCACCUCUGAGGGCUUUUUUUAUCCAAUGGCACAAAGAGACAUAUGCAGAGGACAGCUUGUCAUGAUGGCGCUCACUGGACAGGCAGUGCCACUUAAUUUGUCUGCCGUGGUGGUCUUGGGUUGAUAGAGCCACUUAGCUCACAGUUGGACUUUUGAUGGAACUUCAUUUACGCAGACAGAGCCUUCAAGACCAGAUGGUGAAAGUGAUUUAUUAAAAAAAAGCAUAGCUAACACCUUUUGUUGUUCUUCUAUCUGAGGAUUAACUGUUAGUGAGCAUAAUUGUAUGCCAUUGAAUUUUAUGACAGUGUCAUAUUUUAAGACCAAUCUAUGACAGUGUAAAGUGAAAAAGAAAGGGGAGCAAUUAGAAAUUGAGUAUCCCACAUUCACACAAAGUUGGAAAAUCAGAACACCCUUCUGUGGGGUUAGAUUUCUAGGCUACGAUUCUAACUUCCCAUUUCACUGAGGGAAGACAUUUAUGGUAGGCUAUUGCUAAUGGACAUUUAAACACUGACCAAGGAAUUUGGGUGAGGGUGUUUAAGGCGCUGGUAUGCUCGACGGAUUGGUUAUUGCGCGUGCCAACAGUGACGUCAACACAGCGGCAAAACCUUUAUGCUUGAGCAAGGUGUGUGACCUGCAGUUUUCUCGACCUUAACGAUACAUAUCGCUGCGAGAAAAAUACCAUCUACACCGCUGGAAAGUUAUGCACAGAAAUAGAGCAGUCAAAUAUAAAUGAUAUAAACUGUAUCACCAGUAUUCAUUUGUGGAUUAACUGCUGGAAACAGCAAUAAGAAGAGGCAAUGUGCUGAAUAGAAUAGAGGACAAUGAAAGAACCUAGGCUAUAUGACAUGACAGUUAAACUUUAUCACCUUUAUUAAUUUGAAGAUUAAACUGGAUGGCUCCUAAAAGUUUCUGGUUAGUGUUGCUUGUGGGCUGGGAAACUAACCUGUUACCUUACUGUAGGUUAUCACAAUGUGUUAUGGUAACAAAAGACGGUCUCAACUGCAUUAUAGAACAGUGUUUUUUUAUGUUUAUUUUUCUUGCAAUUUUCAUCAGAAAAACGUUUAUACAAUUGUUACAGUAAUCUCCCUACACAAGUUCUGUGCCAUCUGGGAAUCCCUAUGCUCCUGCAUUGAACGGUCAUGGCGACGCCUGUACAGAUGGCUGUGACUCGUGUCUUCUGCUUUUUCAUUUUGCAUAUGUGCCAGCCACGCCGCAUGCAACAAGUUAAAAGGGAAGUUUGCGACCAGCCAGCCGGCGGAAAUAGUGUAGUUUUUGUUGCACAGUGCAAAGAGAUGGGAACGGCGAGCAAAAAUUCCCCUUUAGACGUAGAGGUUUGGCAAUGUAUAGUAGCUUUUUAUCAGUAUGUGUACUCCAUGGGUAUGGAACCCAUGCUGUUGAUGCUGCUGGCACCUCACCAGUUGACUGACAGGAAACACAGCUUGCUUAUGAAAAUAAAAACGGCAAAAAGCAAUUAUCAACAUGUUUUCAAAGACUUUUAUUUGAGACCUGAAUUAAAUGUUGCAAGAAGGGUCCAAUCACAAUUGUAUUAUGGACUGGCUCCAGCUUUGGUACAACAUCAGUGAGAUCAUUUAAUUUGGCUUUCAGUCAUUGUUCAAUUGUGAAACAUUUUUGGGUGUCAGAUGCAAUCAAAAUGGGAUUCCUCAUUCAAAACAUGUCAUUUUUUUAAGUCAUUUUCUAAAGAGUGGGCUGAUUCCAUUAGAAAACACAAUGAGGUGGCAACAGAAUAUGACAGUAGAGACGUCCACUGUUUAUUCUCGCCCCUCACUCAAGUCUCUCAGACGAGGAAACAUUGCCGCCGUCUCUUUUGUCACUUGUUCAUCAGUGGCUGUCCCUUUUAUUUUAAUGUGUCACAUAAGUCAAGAAUGUUUACCUGAUGAGCACAACUGAUUUGUUGUUGAAUGAGAGUGUAUGUCACCGGAUGGGCUGUUCAACUUCAUCUUAACCACUCAGACAACAUCAAACAAUGUUCAGCUCAUCUGUUUUGACAUGUAGGUUCAGGUGUAUGUGUCUGAACGCCUUGAGUGUGUGUGGUGACUGUAUUUAGUUCAUCAAACUCAUCAUACUCUCCCAAUAGUAAUCAGUUAACCAGGGGUCGAGGGUCAAGGCUAUAUAGUAUUUAUUUUGGAAAACAUGACUGUUUUUCAUGAACUGCUGUUAGAUCUCUAUGAGUUCUAUUGGUUAACUAAUUUUUUUUUUAUACAGGAAAAGAUGUUUAAUUCCUAGUGAAAUUGAAUGGGGAUUUCACACAGUGGCCAAUCCCUCUCACUGUCACAUGCAAUCACUGAUACCCAACAACCUAGCCUAAGUAUUAUAACAACAGUGUGCACUGCAACCAUCAUAACGAUACUUAACAAUAUUUAACAACAACAAAGAUGCCUUCGUGAGCAUUUCACAAGGGUUGUCACGUGGGCCCCCUCCUUCAGUCAGUGUUUCGUUGACACCACGACACCUCCAGAAGGCUCAACAGUGGUGUCUGGUGUCUCAGACCUCCAUACUCAUAAUGGGUUUGGACACAUGUCAAUACCAGGGACAACAACAGAUACACCUCCAGAUACACCUUGAAAAGAUUUCACAUGCAUAUCUCAGUGUCUGAGCGAUGCACUGCCAUUAUACUAGUUCAUGCCACAGGCUAUCCAGGGUGAGGGGUGGGACAGUUUGGGGGGUAACCCCCUCGGGAGUAUGAACCCAGGUAAGGGUAAGGGAAGGGGUUGGGGGUGGCAGUCCCCCUGGGAUUACAAACCUGGAUUAGGGUAAGGGAAUAAGGGAAUAAAACGGGAUUCGAACCCUGGUCAUUUUAGGCGUCUAAACAUCUUGCGACAACAGACUUCUUCAGGUGAUACAGGUUAAUUCACAUGUCCUUAAGUAGUUAAUGAGCGCCUCAGCCAUAAUCACUGGCUCGCUUUUUCAGCAGCCUCAGACAACAAUUUUAAAGCUCCUUUGAUCGACCGUUCUCGAAAACCAAAAUCCAACAGAAGCGUUGUGGUUAAUUUAGCUACAAAGCCUAUAUCCACUGGUCUUGUCAUGUGUGCUUGCCAACCUCGUUCCCUCGCUUCCACUACCAGUUUUGCAUACUUUAGCAUUCUCCCUUUCAAAGGCUUCCUCAAUUGCAUCUUCAAAGGGAAUCAUUAACUCAGUAAACAAUGUGGUCGCACUCAGAACAACAGUAGACAAUGCACUCGCACUCAGAAUACAACACCAUGUCUGGUCUCAUAGCAGUCACAACAAAUACACUGUGGAAUUUGAAGUUGCCUUCUGACAACAGCCAGCAAUCUCCAAUCCUGCGCUUUGCCCCAUUUGCCCAUACUGUUUGUACUGUAUGUGCCUGGUGUCAACUUUCCUGCCCCUAUUGCACAAAAUAAAUACUACUGUCUUUGUCAUUAACCGGCAAAGAAUUAAUCCCAGCCCGUUUAUUCUAAAACAAACAUCUGCCAACAACCAACGCCACUGAUUUUAAAACCUGAUUAUGCCUCCAUGUAUAGCUAUACUAGCUAUUCUAGCUACCAAACUAGUUUUACCACCAGACAUAAUGUGUUUGAAUGAACCAACACCCAUACACAACUUCCAGCUUCUGUCUUCACCCACCCACUGACUGAGGUUCUGCAGAGUUGGGGGAACAUAAGUGGCUCAAACAAUUAAUUUAAUGUGGUUACAUUUACAUUUACAUUUAGUCAUUUAGCAGACGCUUUUGUCCAAAGCGACGUACAAGGGAGAGAAUAGUCAAGCUACGAGCAAUAGAACCUGGUGUAACAAUAAAUACUACUUUACGAAGUGCCAGUUAGGACGGGAAGUGCUUCUUCAAAAGCUUCUUAAAGGUAGAGAGGGACGCCCCUGCUCUGGUAGUGCUAGGUAGGCAUGGUUAGCAUCAAUAUCCCACAAUUCUCUCCAGCUUAUCUUCCUGUUUUCAACAUUAUGCCAGUUCAUCCAUUGCCUGAGAAGCCGCUGCUGCUCGUCUAGAUUCCUCUUCUUGCUCGUGAACAAAGCUGGUAACCAUCUGCCUCCUCUCUGGCAAUGUAGUCUUACCCUAUGCUUUCCAACUGUCACUUAACCCAAAUCCUGCUCUUCCAUUCUGUUCCUGCCCAAUGACAUCCCUAUGCUUUAAAGCUCCUCAUACACGUCAAACCACUUCUCGUGGAUUCCACGUCUUCCCUGUUUUAACCAUUGGAGCAGUGUUCUUGAAUCCUGGAUCCUUAUAUAAAGUCAUCUCCAGGCUGGUGUUAGCACAGAACUCCUCCACCAAGCUGGUCAUUGGUAACUCCAAAAUGUAUUCUCCACACAAUCAUACAGUGAUUUGUAUUUUAUUCCCAGUGCUUAGACAACGUGGCACCCCAAGCCAUUUCUAAGCUGCCUUAUUUAUGAUUCUCUCAAAUUUCUCCACCUCUGAAAUAGCAACAUACAACCAGCCAAAGGCCGCAUUAUAUCACCAAAUGAUAAACAGGUAUAAACUAUGGUAUAGAUUUUCUGUGAGGAAAAAAAAUGAAUCUCACAUUUCAGGGCAUAUGGCGGCUUUCCAAUGGUGUUAUUGAAACUCUUUGAGAUUAUUUACGCCAGUGCAACUUUUUAAAGGCAAAGUUUCCUGUGCUGAUAUCAACAAGUUUUCUUCAAGAAAUCUGCAAAGUACAAAGUCUUUAAAGACUGACAUUUGACCCAUGGAAUUGUAUCAUAUUUAUACAUCAUAGAUUUCAGCUCAAAUAUGUCUGGUAGGCCUAAUUCAAAAAUAUAUAUUUCAACUCAAGCGGAAGAACUGUCUCAAGUUUUCAUCAGUGCAACUGAAGAACACCAUUUCUGCAUCCUUCCAAUGCCAUCAGAAUUAGCUCUAUAUGACUAGAAGCAAUCACAUUAAAACACACAGAUGAGCUCUAGCCAAGGAUGGGCAAAAAUACAUCUAAAUUAAUUGGUUGUAAAAUUAUCCAAAUAAAAUACAAAAUACAGCAACCAGAACAUGCAUCAAAAUAAACUUCAGUAUUUUAUAUUUAAAACAUUUCCAAGGCAGCAUGACAUCAUAUCACAAACCUCCACUCCACAUAGGCAUAUGCUCUGGCGGAAGAUGUAGUAACACUUGAGUAUCGUAAUUUCCGGACUAUAAGCCGCUACUUUUUUCCCAUGCUUUGAACCUCGCGGCUUAAACAAUGACGCGACUAAUUUAUGGAUUAUGAUGAUACCUGUGACUGUAUACAGUGGCUUUGUGUUUACAGUGGCUUUGUGGAGCUAGGAUGCUAGCAUGGAUGCAGCCGCAUGGAUGCUUAGCUCCACGCGAUUUCACAGUAUCUUUCAAUAACUUAACUAAUGUCAAAAUAACCACAGUCUACCGGCGUAGACAGAACACAACUCAAAACACUUUAGAAAAUUAAAAAAAAGUUUACAACAAUACAAAUCCAGUCUUUUCAAGUUCUUUAGCUCACUGGUUUCAAACUAGCGUCUUUCUUCUAUCUCACUCACUCCUGUCUUCAAUCUAACGUCCUAACUUCUGAUUGACUCUUGCAACUGUGCUCUCUUAAAGCAACAGUGCACUUAUCGUAACUGGCAAAACUAAUAAUAUGCAUCACUGUUGUAUUACUUUUGAUAUUCAUUUUAGCCUGUGUAAAGUUAAUUUGUGUCAAUGUACCGGUAGGCACCUGCGGCUUAUAGACAUGUGCGGCUUAUUUAUGUUAAAAAUAAUUAUUUUUUAAAAAUUCAGUGGGUGAGGCUUAUAUUCAGGUGCGUUCAAUAGUCCGGAAAUUACGGUAAUUUUGUCCCAAUUAGCACUUUUUUGUUAAUGUUGACACAUGCAGACUAAAAUGCAAUCUUCGUUUUUAAAGAAGACAUGACAUCCAUGUGUACAUUUCAUUUCAACCAUACCAUGCACAGCAUCAGCCGGCGAUUA